Molecule: ribosomal RNA, 271 nt
Filed under: Veillonellaceae bacterium
Lineage: Bacteria; Bacillati; Bacillota; Negativicutes; Veillonellales; Veillonellaceae
Description: partial 16S ribosomal RNA
Rfam family: Bacterial small subunit ribosomal RNA
Source: RNAcentral
AUCAUGGAGAGUUUGAUCCUGGCUCAGGACGAACGCUGGCGGCGUGCUUAACACAUGCAAGUCGAACGGGAAGAAAAAGAAGAGCUUGCUCUUUUUUGGAUUCUAGUGGCAAACGGGUGAGUAACACGUAAACAACCUGCCUUCAGGAUGGGGACAACAGACGGAAACGACUGCUAAUACCGAAUACCUUCCAAUUUCCGCAUGGAGAUAGGAAGAAAGGGUGGCCUCUACUUGUAAGCUAUCGCCUGAAGAGGGGUUUGCGUCUGAUUAG